RNAcentral lists this ribosomal RNA (253 nucleotides) under uncultured bacterium. RNAcentral's name for it is "partial 16S ribosomal RNA". It matches the Rfam family "Bacterial small subunit ribosomal RNA", at positions 524 to 776 of the family's 1533-position model. The record is from RNAcentral.
UACGAAGGGUGCAAGCGUUACUCGGAAUUACUGGGCGUAAAGCGUGCGUAGGUGGUUUGUUAAGUCUGAUGUGAAAGCCCUGGGCUCAACCUGGGAACGGCAUUGGAAACUGGCUUACUAGAGUGCGGUAGAGGGGUGUGGAAUUCCCGGUGUAGCAGUGAAAUGCGUAGAUAUCGGGAGGAACACCGGUGGCGAAGGCGGCGACCUGGGUAGAUACUGACGCUGAGGUGCGAAAGCGUGGGGAGCAAACAGG